UCAGGCCAGCCUUUGGUCACCCACAGCACAUGGAACUGGGAAGCUGGGAUGUGAUCUGACUCCAAGCCCUUCAGCCCUCCGGGAGGAGAGGGCCCGGAGUUUGCCCUGCAAGUCACUGGUCCAGACAGUGGCUAACACGGAAGCAUUUUUGCAUCCGGGCGAAAAGUCCAAGAGUGACAGCGGCUGUUUCAGUGCUGCGGCACUUUCCUCAGCCCUGACUGUUCGGUUUUCUCAACAAUCCUACUCAGUUGGUUUAAUUACUGCCAGUGUUUCCCAAAUAAGAGUCGUCCAGGGGUUCCUAACAGGCAUGAGGUCAUGCCAGGUAAGAGGGGGAAGCCAGGACUUGCCCCCUGCCCCUGCCUCUGCACUCUGAGCACCAAGCUCCACGGUGUUCCAGCCUCUGCUGGGACCUGGGCCCCACCCCAGCGGCCCGCCCCGCCCCGCCCCGCCCCGCAGCUGGCCGCUGGCCCGGCGGGCUUUCCUGGACUCUGCUGUCUGCUCCUGAUCCAACAGAUUUCAGAGUCUGGUUUUUCUUUGUUUCUGGAGAGUCCAUUCCAGCAUCUAUUAAACAAGAAUCAGAAGGAAAGAUUCGAAGCAAUAUCCCAAUACUCUUUAGAUUCUAUCAACUGUGAGACACUAUGGAUUUUCUUUUUUUUUUUAUUAAAAAAAAAUUUUUUUUUCAACGUUUAUUUAUUUUUGGGACAGAGAGAGACAGAGCAUGAACGGGGGAGGGGCAGAGAGAGAGGGAGACACAGAAUCGGAAACAGGCUCCAGGCUCUGAGCCAUCAGCCCAGAGCCCAACACGGGGCUCGAACUCACGGACCGCGAGAUCGUGACCUGGCUGAAGUCGGACGCUUAACCGACUGCGCCACCCAGGUGCCCCAGAGACACUAUGGAUUUUCAAAGACGGCUGACUGCCUUUCAUGCCUCUGAACUCCGCCCUUCCUUGGCAUGAUGGAGAAGGAAAAUGAACUCAAGACCCACCUAGUACAGCAUCUGAAAUCUAAUUAGGUACCCAAACAAGCGAAUUCUUUGAACUCAACGCAUCCCAAGUUGCAAAAGUGGGCCAAGUCUCUUGGCUCCUAGGACUGCAGCUUUGCCUCCUUCAGGAGCUAGAGAGCUGAUGCUCAGGAGAACUGCAGGUAUGCGCCAGGCCCUGGGAAGAAGCACACCUUCCUGUGUAAUGCGAAGGCCUCGGUCCAGACUUCAUUCUCGCCGGGUCUCAGGGAUGGUCAUCGCUGUGCUCUUCACACGUUGUGAGAAUUCUGGGUCAUUUUCUCAAGUUUGGAAUUGUGGAUGUGGCCGUGGCUGUUUCCAGACAGAAAACAGUGGAAUCCUGGAAAGAGUCAAACAAUCAACUGUGAUUUUGUACUUCGAUCCAGAUGAAUUAAGCAAGCAGAUCCUUUGGGUUUUACACAUCUAUGAAAUAUCAGGCCCUCAUGUUCUCCUUUUGGGGUGUUCUUCCUCGAAAAGAAUGCACUUUCACUAUUUAAAUCAUAUCAGUAAAUAGUCAUAUUGUGUCUUAUGGUUUUUUGGUCCUUCUGUCUUAAAAAGAAUGAUUUCAAGAAUGAAGUUUCACAUGCCGAUUUGAAUAGUUUAAUUUUUGUUGGAAUAAUUAGUUCCCUUCCUUCUCAUCUUUUUCUGAACCCACUGGAAAAAAAAAAAAAAAAAGACAAAGGAGAGAGGCAGAGAGACACCAAAAUAACAUCUUUCCUGUUGAUAAAGCUGACAUUGGAGAAAGUGGAAUAUAUCUGUGGCCAAAUGGACUUCCUAAUCGUGAGUCCACGUGCUGGCUGCACCAGCCGAUCUGGUCAGAGGCAGAAGCAGACCACUGCUGGCCUCCACACACGGUAAGCGUGGAGAGCUUUACUGCUGUGCUUGCCGUGGGUUUGACAGCCAUCUAGAGCAUGUUUUCUCUGCUAUUUCCUAAAAGGAAGAAGAGACAGGAAGGGGCUGGGCUGUGCAUGCUUGGUUUCUUCCCACAGAUUCCUCAAUUAGGUCCUGGUUACUGUGCCCAGUAAGUGAAAGCUUUCCUGGGUCAUCCGCUGAAAUGCUGGGAAGUCCAAAGAGGUGAGGAGCGUAGCUUUGCCAGUGAGACUGUCCCGGAGUUCAACCCCCCACCACUGAGAAGCACCUUACACUCCCAGAAGCCUUCCCAGGCUCAGUUUUCUCAUCUGUAAAACAAAAAAACACCCACCCCUACAGGACUUCAGUGAGGAUUAAUAUAUGAUAUAAAGGGCUUGGCCUCUAGUAACACUUUCUAAAUAAUUCAUAUUUUAUAAAAAUGCUCUCGGCUUUAAUUUGGCUUCAGGCUUUUGAUCAGACAAUAAUAUUUAUUAUACACUUAGUAGGUAUGAAAGGGAACAGAAAGAGGUCUGAAGUCUAGGGUGACAGGUAAGACACACACAGAAUAGAAAACUGUGGGAUCAGGGACAAGUGGCUUAUUUCUACCCGACAUCUGGAAGAGGUAGAGAAUCUGAAUAGGGUGUACAUUUGAGGACAAACAGCGAAGUGACUUCCCUUUUCCUAGCUAUGAAUUUGGGAUAUUCUUCUCUUUUCCUGUUUGGGCUUUUGUGUUCCUCAGAGAGGAGACCUCUAAUUCUGAGAAGUAGGCAAGAGGAGGUCAAACUACUCACAGAACAAUGACUCAAAACCCUGAGUCUUUUCCGGAUUUACCUACAUUUAAAAACCAAAAAUCCUUUGACCCCCCCCCCCCUCAGGACUGCUGGAGGAACAGGGGCUCCUGUGGCUUUCUGGCAAAGGCAGUCAGGGUGUGAGGAAACCAGAAGGAACCAAAACACAAUGAGAAACCCCGUUCAGCCGACCACGGAAAAGUCCUCUUUGUUGUUUGAAAUUUUUAUCUUGUUUGUGGCAAAUCUAAUGAUUCAGUAACGACCACAGCUGUGUUGGGGCCCACGAAUUUCCUCAGAGGCUUCCCCCCACCCCCACCCCCCACUUGAGAGCAGGAACAAGGCCAGCUGGGUAGGCCACCCUCCUCCAGCUCUCUUCCCAGUCUCUGCAAUGUGUUUGGGACAAGCAGCGCUGGGGGCCGCCGGUCCGGAGAUUUUAUCCGACUUCUCCCGAAUCUAAUUCCGUGGGGGAGGAAGCGAAGUAAAACUGGCUGUUUUAGGUUCAUGGACGAUGCAUUUCUGGGCAUGAGGUUCAGCUCUCUGUAUCCUGCUGUUGAAGUAAGUUUGAGAGAGUCAAAUCGUUUCUCACUGUGGUCCUCACUGUGGUAAUGACAGAGAGUCACAGAGAAGAUUCCGGUUUCCCAGACCCCGCCGAGGGGGGCAGCUGGCACCUGCCGGCAACCGCCUGCUUGCCUCUGAUUUCCCUGGGUCAGCAUCUCCCUACUGUGCGCGCUGAGCCAAGGAACAAGAAGGAAAGACAAGGCAAGGUGGCCGCCGAGUGGCUCAGGGUUCUGCAUGAUCUCAGCGCGCAGCUGCAGCUGGCGUGGGUGCGGCUCCCGUGGGGAGGCCCUGGGGGCUCGGUCUCACUGGCAUGCUAAUGUCCCUCCCUGCCUCACAUGCCUCAUCUGGGAAAUGAAGGCAUGGGGGUGUGUA
Molecule: long non-coding RNA, 3563 nt
Organism: Leopardus geoffroyi (Geoffroy's cat)
Lineage: Eukaryota; Metazoa; Chordata; Mammalia; Carnivora; Felidae
Exons: 4
Source: RefSeq, a predicted model, not a curated record